ACUCUCUCACUCUGCAUAGUUACACUAGGUAUUGCCCGUGUGACUUUCGUACGGGGAGAGAGAGAAAACGAGUUCCUCUAGUGCCUUGGAUUGGCCUUACAGUGGCCUCUCUUGCCUAGUGGAACACCACAGGG
RNAcentral lists this small nucleolar RNA (134 nucleotides) under Meriones unguiculatus (Mongolian gerbil). Its description in RNAcentral is "Small nucleolar RNA SNORA64/SNORA10 family (ENSMUGG00000025630.1)". It matches the Rfam family "Small nucleolar RNA SNORA64/SNORA10 family". From Rfam's summary of the family: This family belongs to the H/ACA class of small nucleolar RNAs (snoRNAs) which act as guides in the the modification of uridines to pseudouridines. This family includes the human snoRNAs U64 and ACA10 and mouse MBI-29. The record is from RNAcentral. Lineage: Eukaryota; Metazoa; Chordata; Mammalia; Rodentia; Muridae.